GACGGGGGCCCGCACAAGCGGUGGAGCAUGUGGUUUAAUUCGAAGCAACGCGAAGAACCUUACCAGGUCUUGACAUCCUCUGACAAUCCUAGAGAUAGGACGUCCCCUUCGGGGGCAGAGUGACAGGUGGUGCAUGGUUGUCGUCAGCUCGUGUCGUGAGAUGUUGGGUUAAGUCCCGCAACGAGCGCAACCCUUGAUCUUAGUUGCCAGCAUUCAGUUGGGCACUCUAAGGUGACUGCCGGUGACAAACCGGAGGAAGGUGGGGAUGACGUCAAAUCAUCAUGCCCCUUAUGACCUGGGCUACACACGUGCUACAAUGGACAGAACAAA
This 330-nucleotide ribosomal RNA is filed under the name Enterococcus faecalis. RNAcentral describes it as "bacterial SSU rRNA". It matches the Rfam family "Bacterial small subunit ribosomal RNA", at positions 912 to 1243 of the family's 1533-position model. Lineage: Bacteria; Bacillati; Bacillota; Bacilli; Lactobacillales; Enterococcaceae. The record is from RNAcentral.